Molecule: non-coding RNA, 70 nt
Organism: Grammomys surdaster
Lineage: Eukaryota; Metazoa; Chordata; Mammalia; Rodentia; Muridae
Source: the annotation of a RefSeq genome assembly
GCAUUGGUGGUUCAGUGGUAGAAUUUUGCCUGUCACCCGGGAGGCCUGGGUUCAAUUCCCAGCCAAUGCA